AUCUUUAUGAUUGCGUUGGGUCUAUCAGAAAGAAUUGAUCAGACCUGUCAUUCUUUUGUCUAAUCACCUUUUCAACUUUUCUACUAUACACACGAUAAAACGCUGGAGUCCGCUCGCAGAAACGAGACGAGCCAGCGCCAGAGGCAUCUUGUUAUCCGCGAAUUUCCGGCCAAGUUGUUUACCGCUUUAACCAACGACCCUUUAAUUACUUCAACAACCUACAGCCACGAACUUGACCGACUCUAAGAGCUACUCCUGUCGAGCGUGUCAUGUUAAUGAAGUUUGUCACAUUCGUUUGCGGAGUCACCAAGACUUCCCUACCGAUCGAGAAACGGAUAAUCGAUAAAGAAGAUACAAAAAGAUGCUAAAGUUUAAGGAGAACGUAAGUAUGUACAUACACUGUCGCUCGCAAGUAUGUGGACACUGGUGUAUUUUUAUUAACAAUCAACAAUACUCAGUAUCUUCAUGUAAAAUCAGGUGUUGCGCAUCAUACAAAAUUUAAAUUGUUUAAAAUCUUAUCAAUAGUAUAUUAAAAUGAAAUACAUGACUUGUCAAAGUAUCAAAAGGUUUCAAAUAUUAUAGUAGCAAUCAAGUACAAUAGUGCAAUUUGGGAUAUGCUUUUCUAUUUAUAGCUUGACAAUCAUCAUGAUGAGCAGAGUAUAAUGAACUUGUUAACCAAAAAGCUUCCACAGAAUGCAACUUCUUGACGCUUAUAGAUGUCAAUCUUUUUAUUGUAUACUAACUUUCAAAAACAGAUUUUAUCGUGCGACAUUCUGCGAUAACUCUGAUAAUGGAGAAAAUUGUUUUAAGACUUUCUAUUCUUAAGUUUCGUAACUAAUUUAUAUUCCAUCAAAAAUAAGUGAAUGUCCACAUAUUUUUGGACGUCUGUGUAGGUGGCUUGAAAGUUUCAAAGAUACCUAAUCCGACGAAUGGAGACUUGGAAGUAAUGUUUGGAAGAUUCAAUCCUGGCUGGCAAUGUCGCUUGAGUUUCCAGUAGAAUCUGUAUGAGGAACUGUAAUUCUGUCGUAUAUUCACGAGAAAGAACACGAAGAACAAAUCCUCUGUAAAAUCUUCGAAAUUCUUUCCUUUUCUUUGUUUUCCUUUUUAAAAUUAAAAUUUAAGUGCUAUUAGCGAUCGAGGGAUCGAUUAAUUUAAAAAAUGAUUCGAUGUGGGUCAUUAAAUGGAGUAAUAAACGUAAUUGGUACGUUCUUGAAAGAAGAAGGAAAACAUGACGAUAGAAGGAAGACGAAGGAGGAAGAAUAGAGAGGGAAAGAGGGAGAAGAGAGUGUUGGUUCGAUCGAAGUUGUCGAAGGGAGGGCGCCACUUUGCCGGCCAUCCUAUUUUCAUUAGCUCCUACGGAUCAUACACUUAUCAGAUUAUCUAUACAAUAGCCUUCAUAACAUGUAACAUAACAUGCCUCCACAAAAUCCAAGAAAGGUGACAAAUUUUUUAAAGGAAAAAGAAAUUUUAUAAGAAAUUUUAACAACAAGAGAGGUGUCAUAUUUUUUAAAAUAAUAAGUACCAAAUAAGGAAACAAAUAUAAAUACGGAUACAAGGACUAAAGAAACAUCCAGUAAUAAACAAGAGAACGCAAUGAUGCUGCGAAAGAGUUACGGCAACAGAAAAGUAGAAAAAAAUUAUUUAAAAAAGAAUUGAAAUGAAAGGAUUGUAAAACCACUUAAAGAAACAAGAAUCCUGAGGUAAAAAAUCCCUACAAGAACACCAGAAAUCAGUUGCAGAAAUGGCAAAUACUGCCAUGAAAAGGAAAUAAAAUGUCUUUAAACAAAACACUACGGACUAAAGUACUAAAAAUAUACCAUAAAGAUAAUACCGACGAGAUGAACGCUAUGUCGAUAAAAAAAAAGGAAAAAGAUCUAGCAAUAAAAAAGUCCUAUAAAAACACCAGAAGCCAGAAAUAGAAACAAUAAGUCCCAUGCACUUUCACGAACUACUGUAUAUUUGCACUAGAUACUUAUUUUGUAGCUUCUAUGAUAUUUCCAUAUUUGUUUCAAAUUUUAUCGAUAUAAUCAUAACAUGACAUGAUGCUCGUACCAUACUUUAUUACAGUGCUAAUGAAAUUUCAAAAUGUUUCGUAUGACAGAUGCAGUGGGGGAAAAAGUAAGUGAACUAAUAAGUAGUAAUAGUGGAAAUACAAAUAAUAGUGGAAAUUACACAAAAUUAUAAAUCUUAAUUUCUAUUACUUACUAAAUAAUUUUGUAUACCGUAAGAACAUGCAAUAAACAGAAUUUAGGUAUAUAAUACUGAUACUAAAUAGUUCGAUUAAACUUCAUUGAUAUCUACUACCUGUCCAUUUAUUUUUGUCCUCAACUGAAUAAUAUGUAUAUUUAUAGAGUGCAUCUAUGUCAACAAAAAGACAAUGUAGAAAUUCAACGAACUAAAUCCCUAACGUGACCGGACAAUUUCCAUUCUCCAUAAAGCAGAUAUCUUAGGAAAGGACGAGAAGGAAAAUGUUUUGGUGACACCGAAAAGGAAAAAGCUGCCUGUCGGCUACGGAUCUCGCGUUUGCCGACGGAAUAUUUACACGAGUAGCUGCGACACACAGGUGCACGCUUUGAUUUGCUGACACUAAUUGCGAACCGCGUCUGGCUAGCUCUUCUCGGUCUCAAAUUAAUUAAUGGCAUAGCAAAUGACGAGUCGCUCGGAGAUUCGCUCGCUGAGCUCUCGUCGCGCUGGGAAAAGCGAAAUAAUACGGCGUACGAUCGUGCCGCGAAUAUCAAUGCUUCCUUCGUUGUCAUCAAGAAGCGGAGACUCGUGCUCGUUAAUGAUGUACCAUCCUAUAUUAUAGGAUCGUUCUGUAGCUCCUCUUCUUUUUUCACUUUCUAUCUUCCUCCUGUUUAUUCGUUUUUCUUCUUCUCUUUUUGUCUCUUUUUCACAGUCGAGAUGCAGGACAAACCGUGUAUGUGUGUGUGCGCGUGUGUGUAUGUGUGUGCGUUCGUUGCAAUUUCACAGCCGGUGUGUAUUUAACCGUCGAAAUAAUCGCUUUAAUCCACGCUUCAAACCCGAGCCACUUUUUUGCAAACCGCGACAUACUAAUCCAUUUCGCUUCGUUACGACGAAAAUGGCAACCGACCAUUGAUAUCCGAUAUUUUAGUAGUGGAAAACUCGUUAACCGAUAACACGUCCGCAGCACGUGGUUGUCCUUUCCGAAGCAAUGACGUCAGAUUGAAAUCAUGGUCACCGUGACCGAUCACCAUGGAAACUGUGCUCGGAGCUAGUAUACCGACGUGAGAACGCCCACGAGGAUUUUAAAGUUCGAGUUAGCCUGACGGGAGAGCGUCCUGUGUAUACAGCUUCACGGAUGAGAUCCUUGCGAUAGGUCGGGGAUGAAAGCACGAAAAUAGCAACAGAAACAGUUUCUUCUUCUCGCGACAUUCCUAAUGAUGCCCGACGAAACCGGGCUAAAUGUUACGUAGCAGUGGAAUUCAAGGCGCAGAUGAAUAUGUAUUAAGAGUAGAGUAUACGUAUAAACUGUAGAAACACGGAUAGAAGAUCGAGCUUAAU
Molecule: long non-coding RNA, 3522 nt
Organism: Bombus huntii
Lineage: Eukaryota; Metazoa; Arthropoda; Insecta; Hymenoptera; Apidae
Exons: 3
Source: RefSeq, a predicted model, not a curated record